AUGUUUAGUGGUCCAUUGAUUAAACUUGCUGUUGCUGACCCCAACAUUCGAAGUUCGAGUCCUGCAUCAAUUUGUGCACAGGAAGUGUUUGAUUAAUCUUCUCUUGGAAGUUUCUGGUAAAAAAUUACUUUUUUUAGUUCAUAAAUACAACAUAAAACUUAAGUUCUGUACCAACAAAGUUAUAAUUUUUGGAGGAUAUUAUCAUAAAGCUUUAUGUAUUUGUCAAUCUUUCUUUGAAAGCUUCUGUGUGCCUGAAUUUUGAAGUUAAGUGUGAGCCAUUUGAUGUGCUUACCAAUUGUUUAAUUAUUUUUCUCAUGGAAAUUUCUGGUAAAAAAUGCUUUUCAAGUUCAUAAAAGCAACAUCCAAGUUGAAAUUGAUUGAAUACUUGAAAUAUUGAUUUGAUAGUUUGAUUGUAUACUUAUAAUUUUGGUUUGAAAUUGGUUUUACUUCAGCACUUCGCAGGUUAGGCUUCAAAUUUUUGGUAUGACAUAAGCACUUCACACAAAACAAGCCCCUCUAGGUACUUACUAGUCUGUCCCACAAUUGGUUUGAAAUUGAUAUAUGAGUAUGUUAUGUAUAUUAGAAUGAUUAUUGGGUUUGGUUGUUGAAAUUUAUUGAAUAUUCAAAAUUGAAUAGUUGAAUCUCAUGUAUUAGAUUAAAUAAUAUGAAUAUGAAUU
RNAcentral lists this long non-coding RNA (677 nucleotides) under Helianthus annuus (common sunflower). Its description in RNAcentral is "hypothetical non coding rna". Lineage: Eukaryota; Viridiplantae; Streptophyta; Magnoliopsida; Asterales; Asteraceae. The record is from RNAcentral.